This 844-nucleotide ribosomal RNA is filed under the name Ramularia vacciniicola. RNAcentral describes it as "eukaryotic LSU rRNA". It matches the Rfam family "Eukaryotic large subunit ribosomal RNA", at positions 66 to 941 of the family's 3401-position model. The record is from RNAcentral. Lineage: Eukaryota; Fungi; Ascomycota; Dothideomycetes; Mycosphaerellales; Mycosphaerellaceae.
CAACAGGGAUUGCCCUAGUAACGGCGAGUGAAGCGGCAACAGCUCAAAUUUGAAAUCUGGCGCAAGCCCGAGUUGUAAUUUGUAGAGGAUGCUUCUAGGUAGCGACCGGUCUAAGUUCCUUGGAACAGGACGUCAUAGAGGGUGAGAAUCCCGUAUGUGACCGGCCCGCACCUUCUACGUAGCUCCUUCGAAGAGUCGAGUUGUUUGGGAAUGCAGCUCUAAAUGGGAGGUAAAUUUCUUCUAAAGCUAAAUACCGGCCAGAGACCGAUAGCGCACAAGUAGAGUGAUCGAAAGAUGAAAAGCACUUUGGAAAGAGAGUUAAAAAGCACGUGAAAUUGUUGAAAGGGAAGCGCUUACAACCAGACUUCUGGGCGGUGUUCCGCCGGUCUUUUGACCGGUCUACUCUCCGUCCCGAGGCCAACAUCAUCUGGGACCGCUGGAUAAGACCUUAGGAAUGUAGCUUCCCUCGGGAAGUGUUAUAGCCUCUGGUGAUGCAGCGCGUCUCGGGUGAGGUCCGCGCUUCGGCAAGGAUGUUGGCGUAAUGGUUGUCAGCGGCCCGUCUUGAAACACGGACCAAGGAGUCUAACAUCUAUGCGAGUGUUCGGGUGUCAAACCCCUACGCGUAAUGAAAGUGAACGGAGGUGGGAAGCGCAAGCUGCACCAUCGACCGAUCCUGAUGUCCUCGGAUGGAUUUGAGUAAGAGCAUAGCUGUUGGGACCCGAAAGAUGGUGAACUAUGCCUGAAUAGGGUGAAGCCAGAGGAAACUCUGGUGGAGGCUCGCAGCGGUUCUGACGUGCAAAUCGAUCGUCAAAUUUGGGUAUAGGGGCGAAAGACUAAUCGAACC